UACGGAGGGGGCUAGCGUUGUUCGGAAUUACUGGGCGUAAAGCGUGCGCAGGCGGCUGCUCAAGUCAGGGGUGAAAGCCCAGAGCUCAACUCUGGAAUUGCCUUUGAGACUGAGUGGCUUGAGUACGGGAGAGGUGAGUGGAAUUCCCAGUGUAGAGGUGAAAUUCGUAGAUAUUGGGAAGAACACCGGUGGCGAAGGCGGCUCACUGGCCCGUAACUGACGCUCAUGCACGACAGCGUGGGGAUCAAACAGG
RNAcentral lists this ribosomal RNA (253 nucleotides) under uncultured bacterium. RNAcentral describes it as "partial 16S ribosomal RNA". It matches the Rfam family "Bacterial small subunit ribosomal RNA", at positions 524 to 776 of the family's 1533-position model. The record is from RNAcentral.